ACAGAGGGGGCAAGCGUUGUCCGGAGUUACUGGGCGUAAAGCGCACGUAGGCGGUACGGUAAGUAAGGUGUGAAAGCCCCAGGCUUAACCUGGGGAGGUCAUCUUCGACUGCCGCACUCGAGACCUGCAGAGGAUCGUGGAAUUGCCGGUGUAGUGGUGAAAUGCGUAGAGAUCGGCAGGAACACCAAGGGCGAAAGCAGCGAUCUGGGCAGGGACUGACGCUGAGGUGCGAAAGCGUGGGGAGCGAACC
Molecule: ribosomal RNA, 250 nt
Filed under: uncultured bacterium
Lineage: Bacteria
Description: partial 16S ribosomal RNA
Rfam family: Bacterial small subunit ribosomal RNA
Source: RNAcentral